GGUUGCCAAUUAUACCAUUCAAAAGCUGUAUCUUUUAAAGUUACUAACAACCAUCUCAAUCAAAUGUCUUCAGUUCUACCAUUAUUAGCCUCACAAGCUGUCAAGAAUUGAGAUAUAUGGUGAUCAAAAUCAGAGUCCGGCCAACCACUAAAAGUUGGUAAUGGUGCCAUACUUGUAGUUCAGUCUCCUAUUGCUCCUAUUUGUACUACAAUUGGUACUUCUGGCACUUCCGCGGCCAUUGGUGUUAUCACUGGUCUCCUUACUAUUUGAAUCUGAAUUUUUCUUCUUUUGAUUUUUCUUGGACCUGCAAUUUCUUUUUGUCAUUCUCGUAGGAUAUUUCUUAUGCAUAAAUGCUCUUAUCUU
This 363-nucleotide long non-coding RNA is filed under the name Physcomitrium patens. RNAcentral's name for it is "long non-coding RNA (PPAT_LNC014287)". Lineage: Eukaryota; Viridiplantae; Streptophyta; Bryopsida; Funariales; Funariaceae. The record is from RNAcentral.